GCCACAUCAUGUUGAAACACUGGUGCCCGUACGAUCACAGAAGUUAAGCAACGUCGAACCUGGUCAGUAAUUAGAUGGGGGAACACUUAGGAAUACCAGAUGCUGUAAG
This is a non-coding RNA of Acanthosepion pharaonis, 109 nucleotides long. The record is from the annotation of a GenBank genome assembly. Lineage: Eukaryota; Metazoa; Mollusca; Cephalopoda; Sepiida; Sepiidae.